UGAUGGACGAUCGUGCUCUUUGGAAGGAGCCUCAGCGACACCUCUGCAAAGCCUUGCAGUGCACCUGCUGAGAUGAAGCUGGCACCAGGCCACACAUACUGACCUGACCUUUCCCAUCCACAUUCAGUCAGCCCACAGAACAGAGCUGCUGCAGAAGUCCUUUUCCAGCCAGCAUGCCCACAUUGUGGCCUUUGCCACAGAACCAAAGUCUCUGUGGAAAGAACAGUCAUCCUUGUUCAUGCUUUUGGAGAUGCUUCUUAAAUAUCUGUCAAAACCGAAUUGCUCAGCCUUUUUGUGAUGGCUUUCCUCUAUACAUGCUAACUGUCUACUCCGUCUCGAGGGAGAACAUCUUUCAGGAAGGUGGCUUUAACUCACAAGCACCGAUGACAUACUGCUGAUGUUAAAGUGCUGCAGGUUCCUGCCAUUGCCAAAUUCCAGCUUUCUUAGUGGCACAGUUAUGUAUUGCAUGGGCAAAAAACGUUUCCCAUCUUUCAGCCACUAUUUUAAUAAAGAAAUGCUUUUGAUAUCUAUAGUUUGCUUU
RNAcentral lists this long non-coding RNA (541 nucleotides) under Phasianus colchicus (ring-necked pheasant). RNAcentral describes it as "lncRNA (ENSPCLG00000010917.1)". Lineage: Eukaryota; Metazoa; Chordata; Aves; Galliformes; Phasianidae. The record is from RNAcentral.